Long non-coding RNA from Passer domesticus (house sparrow), 828 nucleotides. RefSeq lists it as uncharacterized. The record is from RefSeq and is a predicted model, not a curated record. Lineage: Eukaryota; Metazoa; Chordata; Aves; Passeriformes; Passeridae. The transcript has 2 exons.
GGAUGGGAUAAUGGGAUGGGAUGGGCCAAGGACUGCUUCCCACAGCUCCUCCUGCCUGUGGAUGGGACUCAGGGAAUAACAGGUGUGACAUGGGGGAAUCACGGGUGGGACACAGGGAACAAACCCCAGGUGAGACACAGGGAAAAAACAGAGAUGGGACACAGGGAAUAACAGGUGGGGACAUAGGGAAUUUCAGGUGGGACAUAGAGAGCCACAGGUGGGACACAAAGAACAAAGGUGGGAUAUAGGGAACUGCAGGUGGGACACGUGGAAUAAUGAGUGGGACACGGGCAGCCAGAGUUGGGACACAAGGAAAGAACCACAGGUGGGACACAGGGAACAAGCAGGGAUGGGACACAGGGAAUGGCAGAGGGACACAGGGAAUGGCAGGAGGGACACAAGGAAUGGCAGGCAGGACACAAGGAACAACAAGAGAUGGGAUACAGGGAAAAAACCACAGGUGGGACACAGGGAAUGGCAGGUGGGACACUGGCAGGUAAAGGUGAGACACAGGUACAGGUGGGACACAGGGAACAAAACAUAAGUGGGACACAGGGAACUGCAGGUGGAAUACAGGGAACAAACCACAGGUGGGACACAGGGAACAAGCAGAGAUGGGACACAGGGAAUGGCAGUGGGACACAGGGAAUGGCAGGAGGGACACAAGGAAUGGCAGGAGGGACACAAGGAAUGGCAGGAGGGACACAAGGAACAACAAGAGAUGGGACACAGGGAAAAAAACACAGGUGGGACACAGGGAAUGGCAGGUGGGACACAGGGAACAAACCACAGGUGGGACACAGGGAAUGGCAGGUGGGACACAGGGAA